CUUGAAAUCGGUAUUUAGUAAAAUAGAUAUCGAGUUGUAGCUUAUGGAGGCAGUAAUCAGCCACCCCAUCGUAGUAAAAGUUCUUUUGAAUAAGACAUCAAAGAGGGUGAAAAUCCCGUCAUUGACUACGAAACUAUAUGGGAGUUGGUAUUGUGAACUGUUUUCUUUGAGUCGGGUUGUUUGGGAAUGCAGCCCUAAUUAGGAGGUAAAUUUCUUCUAAAGCUAAAUAUAAGCAAGAGACCGAUAGCAAACAAGUACCGUGAGGGAAAGAUGAAAAGCACUUUGAAAAGAGAGUGAAAAGUACGUGAAAUUGUUGGAAGGGAACCGGUUAGUAGCCAAGAUUUUGGUUUAUUCUUGCUGUUUAAUGGUGGAUUUAUCUAUUGUUUUGCAGAUUUGGGGUUUACUGGGGUCAACAUCGGUUGCGUUUAACAGCCAGAAAGGAGAUUUAGCUCUGCUAGCGAAGUAAGGUAGAAAACACAGUUGUUUGUGGGAGCAAUCUUGCAGGCAAUUUAAGCUGUGUUUUUGUUAUAGACUUCAUGGGUAGAGAAUUUAUUAGCCUUAGUGGUUGUGGCGACCGAGGAAUCUAGUGUGUUUUGGGUCUUUAAGAUCUGGAGGCAGAAAUUGGCAGAUUGAGUUGGGUAGAUUUUGGCAGACAGCUUGCUGACUGUUGAGAUUUUUUUAAAUACCUACUUAUUUCGGUUAGUUUUUGACUAAUAAACACUUUGGAUGUUGGCGAAAAGGCACUAAUCGACCCGUCUUGAAACACGGACCAAGGAGUUCAACAUAUAUGCGAGUAUUUGAGUAAAUAUAAACUCAUAUGCGCAAUGAAAGUGAAGAAAAAUAUUUUCUAUAGUAUGUCACCUAGGGCGAUUUUAUGCAAAUAGAAUUGUCUUGGGGCAGCAUCGACCGAUCUUUGAUAGCGUUGCUUGAAGAGAUUGAGUACGAGCAUAUAUGCUGAGACCCGAAAGAUGGUGAACUAUGCCUGAAUAGGGUGAAGUCAGAGGAAACUCUGAUGGAAGCUCGUAGCGAUUCUGACGUGCAAAUCGAUCGCGGAAUUUGGGUAUAGGGGCGAAAGACUAAUCGAACCAUCUAGUAGCUGGUUCCUGCCGAAGUUUCCCUCAGGAUAGCAGAGACUAAAAAAUCAUAAAGCAGUUUUAUGAGGUAAAGCGAAUGAUUAGAGGCCUUGGGGCUGUAACAGCCUUAACCUAUUCUCAAACUUUAAAUGCGUAAGAAGUUUCAGUUGCUUAAUUGAACUGGUAACCUUUCUUUGAAUGCAAUAGUCUCUAGUGGGCCAUUUUUGGUAAGCAGAACUGGCGAUGCGGGAUGAACCGAACGUAGAGUUAAGGUGCCUAAAUGCACGCUCAUGUAGACACCAUAAAAGGUGUUAGUUCAUCUAGACAGCAGGACGGUGGCCAUGGAAGUUGGAAUCCGCUAAGGAGUGUGUAACAACUCACCUGCCGAAUGAACUAGCCCUGAAAAUGGAUGGCGCUUAAGCGUGCUACCGAUACUCUACCGCUAUAUUAAGUAUUUCAGUAUACAAUUGAGAAUAUAGUGAGUAGGCAGGCGUGGGGGUUAUAAGUUUAGAAGCUGUGGGCGUGAGCUCCAGUGGAACAACC
This 1616-nucleotide ribosomal RNA is filed under the name Caudomyces sp. OR-8-W10. Its description in RNAcentral is "eukaryotic LSU rRNA". It matches the Rfam family "Eukaryotic large subunit ribosomal RNA", at positions 114 to 1437 of the family's 3401-position model. Lineage: Eukaryota; Fungi; Kickxellomycota; Harpellomycetes; Harpellales; Legeriomycetaceae. The record is from RNAcentral.